Piliocolobus tephrosceles (Ugandan red Colobus) is the source of this 2143-nucleotide long non-coding RNA. RefSeq lists it as uncharacterized. The record is from RefSeq and is a predicted model, not a curated record. NCBI's taxonomy places the organism in Eukaryota, Metazoa, Chordata, Mammalia, Primates, Cercopithecidae. The transcript is spliced from 5 exons.
CCCGUCGCGGUCUCAGCCGAAGAGGCCGGAGUAGGAGCCGAAGCCUGAAGCCUGAGCAGGUUCUGAAAAACGGACCGGCAGUUCAGGACUAGGCCCUGAACCACAACUUGCUCCUCAGGUCCGGGUCGGAAGUGACGACUUCAUUCACUGAGCAGCCAUUUCCGGUUCCCAGUGUGCCCGGAGUGCCUUCUGGGUGUCAGAAAAGACACAGAAAUUGACGGGGCGGAACCGCGACACGGUGCCUGCUGAUGUCAAAAGGUCUCACGGCUCCGGGGGGACCCAGUCGCCCACAGCCGCCAGGGGCGCUGCCGGCCCCGAGCCCGUUGUCGAGAGCGGCUGGGCUGCUCGUGUCUGCCCUUCAGUCCUUCACAAGUCUUCUCGGACCUAGAGUUCCUGGAUCUCACUGCGAUCUUGGAGGAUUCCUAUGUAGAAUUCGCAAGGAUAUAGGGAAGGAAAAAAACCAAAAGACCUCUAACUUUGUUUCCGCCCGGUUUCGAACCAGGGACCUUUAAAAGCUUGUGAGGCGAACGUGAUAACCACUACACUACGGAAACCGAAUGGCAGGUGAUAUUUUGCAAACAGCUCUUAAAAGGUAGCGCCUCAUCACCGCGUCCCUGGCUCAAGAGAAAAGUACCCGGCGGGCCAACCACAGCUUUGGGAUCGGGGCGCGCAGGGAAGUAGUCAGCAAAACAGCAGGAGAGAAGAAAGAUAACAUGCGGAAGCAACAUUUGAAGAGAUAAUGGCUGAGAACUUUCUAAAACUGAUGAAUGACUGCAUCUUCAGAUUCAAGGAGUUCAGCAAAUUCCAUGCCGGACUGAAACGGCUUGAUUGUCUGGGGUGAUACCGGAGAGAUGUUAUGCUAAGCUGCCCAGGCUGCUCUCAAACUCCUGGGUUCAAGCGAUCCUCCUGCCUUGGCCUCCCGAGUAUGUUGAAUUUUGACACUGAAACAUGCAGUCUCUCAGAUUCGUUUCCUGCUCAGAUUCUGGAUUGAGGAAGGCGGGGAGUGAGACCACGACAAAGAACCGACUAGGAAGAAGCUGUCACCCUUGAUGGAAUGGGCAAAGAGAAAAAGCAAUCAUUUGGGCAUAGGGCCCAGCUGGACUCCUGGGUGAAAGGGCUCCCUAAUGACCUUACCCGGUGGUUCUCAAGACUGACUUCAGGAUCAUCUGGGAGAAGCUGAAAGGCACAGGCAGUGUUCACCACCUUGAACUGAAGAUCACUGAGCACGGCUUUGGGGGAAACCACCGCAGUGACAUCAGAAAGCAGAAAUGCAGACUUCCCUGACCGGGAAUCGAACCCGAGCCACGGCAGUGAAAACGGCGAAUCCUAGCCACUAGACCACCAGGGAGGGACAGUCACAGAAUGUGGGCAACACUUUCUGGGAAAAGAUCUUAGGACAGACGCCUCAACCACCUCAGGCACAUGUUAGAAAGCUACAGGAAUGUCUUAAGAAUAUUUUGCAGUAAUGUGUAUAGUACUGGAUGCAGUGACUGCUGCCUGGGCCAGAGGGUGGCAGAAGGCUUUAGGGGCAGAAACGUUGGAAGAAAGAUUGUCACAAGUCAAACUGGGGAAGAGAAAAAUAUUUUCCAAAUCAUUUUUCUCACGGACUCCCUCUUACACGGGAGUUUCUCAUCUCCCUUCCUCCCUCCCUCCCGCACUCCUUCUUUCUUCCUAAAAUCAGCAUCUCCUUCACUUACAUAGUUUCCCCACGGUUGACUGAGAAAAACAUGUGUCUCUUUUGCCCCCCUCCCCCAAAGGAUCCUAUUCCUGAUCUCUAAAUAUGCCCCUCCCCAUGCAGAGGGAGGAGCAUUCAGAGCCUGGGAGACCUGCCUACCUGGAGCUGCACCCAUCUUUGAGGCCAUGCUCUGUUUCCUGGAACCUGAAAUGGAUUUACCUAUUCUAUGUACUUCACAGAAAUGAAAUCACAUAAUGUGUCACAUUUUGUACAGUUUCUCUCACUUGGCAUAGUUUUGGGUUCAUUCAUGUCAUAGUACGUGCUAGGACUUCAUUUCUUCUAUGGCCAAAUAAUAUUUUAUGUAUAUACCACAUUUCCUUUAUCCAUUCAUCUGUUGAUGGGCAUUUGGGUUGUUUCCACCUUUUGGGUGUUGUGAAUAUUGCUGCUAUGAACAUUUAUGUACAAGCA